RNAcentral lists this long non-coding RNA (485 nucleotides) under Panax ginseng (ginseng). RNAcentral describes it as "long non-coding RNA (PGIN_LNC003318)". Lineage: Eukaryota; Viridiplantae; Streptophyta; Magnoliopsida; Apiales; Araliaceae. The record is from RNAcentral.
UGACUUGAUAUGCUACAACAUGUAUUAUGAAUAUGGUAAAUCAAUAGAAAAAUAAAUAUAUAAAGAUCUAGUUUGGGUAGUUAUUAAAAUAAAAAAAACCUCUUCACCUAGACCCCACCUAGGCCCCCGCCUAAUUUUCUAGAGGGAUUUUUUUGCCGCCUUGGGCCUAGCUGAGGCGCCAGAGGGCCUAGCGCCUAGGCGAGGCGUCAAGGGGGGCCUAGGCGGAUCUAGGCGGGGAUUUUUAGAACACUGAUUUUGACAAUCAAAAUCAAAAUCCUUCUUGAGUUCCUUCAUACAUGCAUUACAUAUUUACGUGCACACAAAUUCAAAGCAACCAAAACUCAUCAUCCUCUUCACCCCACAACUAAAUCUAACGCAAUCUUAACUCAGAAAACUCUUAACUUCUCAAAAUGAAAGAAACCCAUAUCCAAAUAAUUUUUUUUUACCAUCACCCUAACAACCAAUAUUCAAAGCAACCCAAACUC